ACAGCUUUUGGUCCGCCAGUGCCAAGACUUGUAUCAGUUGGACUUCUUCCCCCACAGAACAAACGGAAGAGGAAUUCAAAGGAAAGGUUAUCACUGAUGGGGUUGAAGUAUGAUGAUCCUUUCUCGGACAAUUCUUUUUCAAGGCUAGUAAAUAGCACAGAGAUUGAGCUAAUAAAGAUGGGUAUAAACUUGUCAUGCGACUUAGCAAGUGUGGAUAAGAAAAGGCCUUUAAGUGUGAAGUGUUUGGGAUGAGUAGUUCCAAGAAAUUCACAACUUUAUAAGGUAAAUAGCUCAGACAUUGAGCUAAUAAAGAUUGGGAUGAAUUUGUCAUGCAACUUAGCAAGUGUGGACAAGAAAAGGCCUUUAAGUGUGGAGUGUUUGGGAUCAGUAGUUCCAAGAAAACCACACAC
RNAcentral lists this long non-coding RNA (410 nucleotides) under Nicotiana benthamiana. RNAcentral describes it as "long non-coding RNA (NBEN_LNC014414)". Lineage: Eukaryota; Viridiplantae; Streptophyta; Magnoliopsida; Solanales; Solanaceae. The record is from RNAcentral.